CAGUCGCCACGGUAAUACGUAGGUGGCAAGCGUUGUCCGGAAUUAUUGGGCGUAGAGGGCUCGCAGGCGGUUUCUUAAGUCUGAUGUGAAAGCCCCCGGCUCAACCGGGGAGGGUCAUUGGAAACUGGGAAACUUGAGUGCAGAAGAGGAGAGUGGAAUUCCACGUGUAGCGGUGAAAUGCGUAGAGAUGUGGAGGAACACCAGUGGCGAAGGCGACUCUCUGGUCUGUAACUGACGCUGAGGAGCGAAAGCGUGGGGAGCGAACAGGAUUAGAUACCCCUGUAGUCCCUGUCUCUUAUAC
RNAcentral lists this ribosomal RNA (301 nucleotides) under uncultured bacterium. Its description in RNAcentral is "partial 16S ribosomal RNA". It matches the Rfam family "Bacterial small subunit ribosomal RNA", at positions 509 to 807 of the family's 1533-position model. The record is from RNAcentral.